Melanotaenia boesemani (Boeseman's rainbowfish) is the source of this 207-nucleotide long non-coding RNA. RefSeq lists it as uncharacterized. The transcript has 3 exons. Lineage: Eukaryota; Metazoa; Chordata; Actinopteri; Atheriniformes; Melanotaeniidae. The record is from RefSeq and is a predicted model, not a curated record.
GCAGCGCACAGGAUUUCUGAAAAGACCCAACGAACUACAAACAUGUUUCUUCUACGGUGUUUUUCCUGGAAAAAGAAAACAACAGACAAAACUGUUGUGGCAGAUGAGAAGAAGCUUAACAACUCUCAGAAAUGCCAAAACAAGUCAGACACCCAACAUCCAAAGGCCAAGAAGAAGACGUCAAAACCAAGAUGGAUUUGGCCUUUU